This 76-nucleotide transfer RNA is filed under the name Candidatus Anoxychlamydiales bacterium. Its description in RNAcentral is "tRNA-Arg". It matches the Rfam family "tRNA". From Rfam's summary of the family: Transfer RNA (tRNA) molecules are approximately 80 nucleotides in length. The record is from RNAcentral. Lineage: Bacteria; Pseudomonadati; Chlamydiota; Chlamydiia; Candidatus Anoxychlamydiales.
UGCACCGGUAGCUCAGUUGGAUAGAGUGCCUGGCUACGAACCAGGAAGUCAGAGGUUCGAAUCCUCUCCGGUGCAA